Molecule: RNA transcript, 3766 nt
Organism: Syngnathus acus (greater pipefish)
Lineage: Eukaryota; Metazoa; Chordata; Actinopteri; Syngnathiformes; Syngnathidae
Gene name: GTP-binding protein 1-like
Exons: 15
Source: RefSeq, a predicted model, not a curated record
UGUGAGCUAAUCUUUACCAUAGGCGUUUUUUAGCCCCCAACUCACACUGGCACUCGAUCCAAGCUAGUAAACAAGUUGAAGCUAAAGCAGAAAAUCAUGGCGUCGUCCCUGACGACAGGAGCAGCACCAGUAGCCGCCGCCGAGUGCACGGUGCCCGCUUCCAUGUUCGCCCCGGAUCGGGGCUUCUCCGCCGCCGCCGCAGACGUCCAUGCAUGCGGGGGAGAGAGCUUCGAGGAUCCCGAGGGCACCGACGAUGUUUUGGAUUUGAGCAACAAGAUGGUCUUGGUGAGUCCGACAGGGGAGCAGUACGACGCGCUGCAGCGACACCUACGAGCGCGGCUCGACGAAGGCUGCGGCGAGACCAUUUUUGUCGUGGGGAUGGGCUCGGACGGCGGCGACUACGGUCUGAGCGACCGCGACACAGAGGCGUCGGUAGCCACCGUGCAAUCGCUGUGUGAGCAAGUGGAGGCCGACCUCAUCCUGCUGAGGGAGCGCACGGAGGUGGGCGGCAAGAUCUGCGACUUCCUCAUCCGCCGCCGCGUGGGCGAGCAGGACUUCCUGGAAGUCAGAGUGGCGGUGGUGGGCAACGUGGACGCCGGCAAGAGCACGCUGCUGGGCGUGCUGACCCACGGCGAGCUGGACAACGGUCGAGGCUUCGCGCGCCAGAAGCUCUUUCGGCACAAGCACGAGAUGGAGAGCGGCAGGACCAGCAGCGUGGGCAACGACAUCCUGGGCUUCGACCACGAGGGACAGGUGGUCAACAAGCCCGACAGCCACGGCGGCAGCCUGGACUGGACCGAGAUCUGCGAAAAGUCCUCCAAGGUGGUCACCUUCAUCGACCUGGCGGGCCACGAGAAGUACCUGAAGACCACCGUCUUCGGCAUGACCGGACACCUGCCCGACUUCUGCAUGCUCAUGGUGGGCAGCAAUGCCGGCAUCGUGGGCAUGACCAAAGAGCACCUGGGUCUGGCGCUAGCGUUAAACGUGCCCGUGUUUGCCGUGGUCACCAAGAUCGACAUGUGUCCGGCCAACAUACUGCAAGAAACCCUGAAAUUACUCCAGCGGCUAUUAAAAUCUCCCGGCUGCAGAAAGAUUCCCGUGUUGGUGCAGAACAAGGACGACGUCAUCGUCACGGCGUCCAACUUCAGCUCGGAGAGGAUGUGUCCCAUCUUCCAGAUCUCCAACGUGACGGGCCAGAACAUCGACCUCCUGAAGAUGUUCCUCAACCUGCUCUCGUCCAGGACCGCUUUUAACGACGACGAGCCCGCCGAGUUCCAAAUCGAUGACACGUAUUCCGUACCGGGCGUGGGCACGGUGGUGUCGGGCACGACGUUACGCGGCGUGAUCCGACUCAACGACACGCUUCUCCUGGGUCCCGACCCGCUGGGCGUUUUCAUCCCUAUCGCCGUCAAGUCCAUCCACCGCAAGAGAAUGCCUGUCAAGGAGGUGCGCGGCGGGCAGACGGCAUCCUUUGCGCUCAAGAAGAUCAAGCGCUCGUCCAUACGCAAGGGCAUGGUGAUGGUGUCCCCCAAACUGAUGCCGCAGGCCACUUGGGAAUUUGAGGCGGAGAUCCUGGUGCUGCACCACCCCACCACCAUAUCCCCGCGCUACCAGGCCAUGGUCCACUGCGGCAGCAUCCGUCAGACCGCCACCAUCUUAAGCAUGAGCAAGGACUGCCUGCGGACCGGCGACAAGGCGGCCGUCCACUUCCGCUUCAUCAAGACGCCCGAGUACCUGCACUGCGAGCACAAGCUGGUGUUCCGGGAGGGCCGCACCAAAGCCGUGGGCACCAUCACCAAGCUCCUGCAGUCGGUCAACACGCAGGCGGCGAAGGCGCAGCAGGCCAAGUUGCUGGCCGGCAAGAAAAUGUACAAGGACGGCACGGAGGAAACGCGGCCGCCCAGUCCUGGCGGUGGCGCUGCUGCUGCGCUUCCGCUCAAAUCAGGAGGCGGAGGACGACGGCGGGGUGGCCAGCGGCACCGAGGGAAAGGAGGCGCCAACGUGCUGGCGACGACAGCGCCCGUGUGCGCCGCGAUGGCGGCGGCGGCGGCGGGCCUCGUUUAGACGCAAAUACGCAGCAGCAUCACUCGUCCAACACAGUAGCACCACAGCCAAAGUCAACGCAAGAAAUCACCAGCAAAGUAUUUCUUCUGCCAAAAUAUGCAUCAAACUUAGUUGUACUACGUUCAUUUUGUCUUCACUUGUAGAUUAUUUUCCUGGUUCUUUGAUCACAGACAAAUGAUUGAGGUUGAAUUCCCUGACAUGUUUCGGCGUGUACUUCAUUCAUCAGCUGAUCAGGACGCAUCACAACGACUACACCAGUGACACUGAUGAAGGCGGGGGUACACAUGUCAGGUCCAUUAAGGCUGACGCUGGACGACAGGGAACCGUUUGACCCGGAGCGAGGGGCUCUUCGGCGAGGCGCCGGCCGUCUGAGGGUGGGGAGGGGGCGGAAGGGCCCGGCGGGUCGAACGCUAAUUGGUUAGCUUGGAGCGGCGCGGCUCCCUGCUAGCAGACAGCUGGUGGGUGGACGCUGAAGACCAAUUAGAGAAACACAGAGUAACCAUCGGAGAAGCCAAGAGAAAAGGAGAAGCCAGAGAAGGCGUUUGUGCCUCGACGCAAGUGUGACAGGUUGCUUGAAAACGCCAGACGAGACGAAAACAAGACGACAGAUCAACGUAUUUGAUCUACCCGAGCUACGCUUCAGCGGCUGUGGUUUCAAACUAGGGGUUGAAUCUAGGGUUAGGGGUUCAAACUAGAGUUUGGGUUCCAAAGUAGGGUUUAAAACGAGGGUUAGGGUUUGACAGCAACAUCCAUGUUUUCACCGGAGACCAUUUUGAGUGUUCAAAGACAUUUUGUUAACCUCCUUUUGAGCACAUUUACUCCAUUUCGUUAACAUCAAAGACAUCAGAACCAUCGAGGAAGUAAACUUUAGAUCCAACUAAAACAUGCUUUGGAGCUUUUAUAGUACUCAAUGAACAUGUUUUCAUUCUCAGGGUUAUCUGACAAAGCCAUGUGAAAUGUAUUUGAUCGACUAAUUGUUUCAGCGUCAUGUCGCUUAGCUGCCAAAUUUGGAGCGCUAAUGAGUGCUGACGCUAUUCUUUGACCCCUGACCCUUGCAAGUGUUGGGAAUCAUGAAAAGACGUUGCAAGCUAGAAUUGGCUAAAACGCUUCAGCGCAGUUUUGUGAAAGCCUGCAAAGCUGUCAUUUAUCUGCGGAUGAGGUUUUUUUUUUUUUUUUUUUUUCCUCUUUCCCAAUCGCAAGCCUUCUCACGGCAAAGAGAGCAGCGUCACCGUGGCAACAGCCUCAGCGUCCUCGCGGCAAAAAGACAAAAGGUGGCAUAAUUGGAACGAUUGUUCCCGUGCAGUUUUGAAGGCUUCUAUUCUUUCGCCUACCGUCACCCUCAUAAGGCGUUUUGUGGACUCGCUAAUUAAGGCUUCAAACAAACGACAAAUGGGACAAAAGCAGACAAAGGAAGAGCUUCUUCGUGUUUGUUUUCAUUCACCCGUUUGUCCCGCAUGCAUGGUUGUGGACGGCCACCAGGGGGCAGCCUCUUGGCUCACCAGUCCUGACCAUUAACGCUUGGCCGCUAAAGGCACAAAACUCACAUGGCGCUUUCAUGGUCCUCCAUUUUGUAUCUGGAAAAGCCUAGGAAAAAGCAAACUCUUUCAGUUUGUGUGCUUGCUGCGGGAAUUUUCACCUUUGGCCGGUUCAGACACAAUGAGGCAGCAUUAGCGUUAGCGCUCGACCCUCCAUCCAAAGGCGA